RNAcentral lists this ribosomal RNA (1372 nucleotides) under uncultured bacterium. RNAcentral describes it as "bacterial SSU rRNA". It matches the Rfam family "Bacterial small subunit ribosomal RNA", at positions 28 to 1381 of the family's 1533-position model. The record is from RNAcentral.
GAUGAACGCUGGCGGCGUGCCUAAUACAUGCAAGUCGAGCGAACGGACGAGAAGCUUGCUUCUCUGAUGUUAGCGGCGGACGGGUGAGUAACACGUGGAUAACCUACCUAUAAGACUGGGAUAACUUCGGGAAACCGGAGCUAAUACCGGAUAAUAUUUUGAACCGCAUGGUUCAAAAGUGAAAGACGGUCUUGCUGUCACUUAUAGAUGGAUCCGCGCUGCAUUAGCUAGUUGGUAAGGUAACGGCUUACCAAGGCAACGAUGCAUAACCGACCUGAGAGGGUGAUCGGCCACACUGGAACUGAGACACGGUCCAGACUCCUACGGGAGGCAGCAGUAGGGAAUCUUCCGCAAUGGGCGAAAGCCUGACGGAGCAACGCCGCGUGAGUGAUGAAGGUCUUCGGAUCGUAAAACUCUGUUAUUAGGGAAGAACAUAUGUGUAAGUAACUGUGCACAUCUUGACGGUACCUAAUCAGAAAGCCACGGCUAACUACGUGCCAGCAGCCGCGGUAAUACGUAGGUGGCAAGCGUUAUCCGGAAUUAUUGGGCGUAAAGCGCGCGUAGGCGGUUUUUUAAGUCUGAUGUGAAAGCCCACGGCUCAACCGUGGAGGGUCAUUGGAAACUGGAAAACUUGAGUGCAGAAGAGGAAAGUGGAAUUCCAUGUGUAGCGGUGAAAUGCGCAGAGAUAUGGAGGAACACCAGUGGCGAAGGCGACUUUCUGGUCUGUAACUGACGCUGAUGUGCGAAAGCGUGGGGAUCAAACAGGAUUAGAUACCCUGGUAGUCCACGCCGUAAACGAUGAGUGCUAAGUGUUAGGGGGUUUCCGCCCCUUAGUGCUGCAGCUAACGCAUUAAGCACUCCGCCUGGGGAGUACGACCGCAAGGUUGAAACUCAAAGGAAUUGACGGGGACCCGCACAAGCGGUGGAGCAUGUGGUUUAAUUCGAAGCAACGCGAAGAACCUUACCAAAUCUUGACAUCCUUUGACAACUCUAGAGAUAGAGCCUUCCCCUUCGGGGGACAAAGUGACAGGUGGUGCAUGGUUGUCGUCAGCUCGUGUCGUGAGAUGUUGGGUUAAGUCCCGCAACGAGCGCAACCCUUAAGCUUAGUUGCCAUCAUUAAGUUGGGCACUCUAAGUUGACUGCCGGUGACAAACCGGAGGAAGGUGGGGAUGACGUCAAAUCAUCAUGCCCCUUAUGAUUUGGGCUACACACGUGCUACAAUGGACAAUACAAAGGGCAGCGAAACCGCGAGGUCAAGCAAAUCCCAUAAAGUUGUUCUCAGUUCGGAUUGUAGUCUGCAACUCGACUACAUGAAGCUGGAAUCGCUAGUAAUCGUAGAUCAGCAUGCUACGGUGAAUACGUUCCCGGGUCU